RNAcentral lists this ribosomal RNA (253 nucleotides) under uncultured bacterium. Its description in RNAcentral is "partial 16S ribosomal RNA". It matches the Rfam family "Bacterial small subunit ribosomal RNA", at positions 524 to 776 of the family's 1533-position model. The record is from RNAcentral.
UACGUAGGGUGCGAGCGUUGUCCGGAAUUAUUGGGCGUAAAGGGCUCGUAGGCGGUUUGUCGCGUCGGGAGUGAAAUCCACUGGCUUAACUGGUGGCUUGCUUUCGAUACGGGCAGACUGGAGGUAUGCAGGGGAGAACGGAAUUCCUGGUGUAGCGGUGAAAUGCGCAGAUAUCAGGAGGAACACCGGUGGCGAAGGCGGUUCUCUGGGAAUGACCUGACGCUGAGGAGCGAAAGUGUGGGGAGCGAACAGG